AGUGAACGCUGGCGGUAGGCCUAACACAUGCAAGUCGAACGGCAGCACAGUAAGAGCUUGCUCUUACGGGUGGCGAGUGGCGGACGGGUGAGGAAUACAUCGGAAUCUACUUUUUCGUGGGGGAUAACGUAGGGAAACUUACGCUAAUACCGCAUACGACCUACGGGUGAAGGCAGGGGAUCUUCGGACCUUGCGCGAUUGAAUGAGCCGAUGUCGGAUUAGCUAGUUGGCGGGGUAAAGGCCCACCAAGGCGACGAUCCGUAGCUGGUCUGAGAGGAUGAUCAGCCACACUGGAACUGAGACACGGUCCAGACUCCUACGGGAGGCCGCAGUGGGGAAUAUUGGACAAUGGGCGCAAGCCUGAUCCAGCCAUACCGCGUGGGUGAAGAAGGCCUUCGGGUUGUAAAGCCCUUUUGUUGGGAAAGAAAAGCAGCAGGUUAAUACCCCGCUGUUCUGACGGUACCCAAAGAAUAAGCACCGGCUAACUUCGUG
This 492-nucleotide ribosomal RNA is filed under the name uncultured bacterium. Its description in RNAcentral is "partial 16S ribosomal RNA". It matches the Rfam family "Bacterial small subunit ribosomal RNA", at positions 29 to 507 of the family's 1533-position model. The record is from RNAcentral.